This 293-nucleotide ribosomal RNA is filed under the name uncultured bacterium. RNAcentral describes it as "partial 16S ribosomal RNA". It matches the Rfam family "Bacterial small subunit ribosomal RNA", at positions 333 to 645 of the family's 1533-position model. The record is from RNAcentral.
GUACCUACGGGGCGCAGCAGUGAGGGAUAUUGGUCAAUGGGGGAAACCCUGAACCAGCAACGCCGCGUGAGGGAAGACGGUUUUCGGAUUGUAAACCUCUGUCCUCUGUGAAGAUAAUGACGGUAGCAGAGGAGGAAGCUCCGGCUAACUACGUGCCAGCAGCCGCGGUAAUACGUAGGGAGCGAGCGUUGUCCGGAUUUACUGGGUGUAAAGGGUGCGUAGGCGGGGAAGCUAGUCAGAAGGGAAAUCCAUGGGCUUAACCCAUGAACCGCUUUUGAAACUGUUUAUCUUGA